AUGCAAGUCGAGCGAUGAUUAAAGAUAGCUUGCUAUUUUUAUGAAGAGCGGCGAACGGGUGAGUAACGCGUGGGAAAUCUGCCGAGUAGCGGGGGACAACGUUUGGAAACGAACGCUAAUACCGCAUAACAAUGAGAAUCGCAUGAUUCUUAUUUAAAAGAAGCAAUUGCUUCACUACUUGAUGAUCCCGCGUUGUAUUAGCUAGUUGGUAGUGUAAAGGACUACCAAGGCGAUGAUACAUAGCCGACCUGAGAGGGUGAUCGGCCACACUGGGACUGAGACACGGCCCAGACUCCUACGGGAGGCAGCAGUAGGGAAUCUUCGGCAAUGGGGGCAACCCUGACCGAGCAACGCCGCGUGAGUGAAGAAGGUUUUCGGAUCGUAAAACUCUGUUGUUAGAGAAGAACGUUAAGUAGAGUGGAAAAUUACUUAAGUGACGGUAUCUAACCAGAAAGGGACGGCUAACUACGUGCCAGCAGCCGCGGUAAUACGUAGGUCCCAAGCGUUGUCCGGAUUUAUUGGGCGUAAAGCGAGCGCAGGUGGUUUCUUAAGUCUGAUGUAAAAGGCAGUGGCUCAACCAUUGUGUGCAUUGGAAACUGGGAGGCUUGAGUGCAGGAGAGGAGAGUGG
RNAcentral lists this ribosomal RNA (628 nucleotides) under Lactococcus sp. FC3. RNAcentral's name for it is "bacterial SSU rRNA". It matches the Rfam family "Bacterial small subunit ribosomal RNA", at positions 55 to 664 of the family's 1533-position model. Lineage: Bacteria; Bacillati; Bacillota; Bacilli; Lactobacillales; Streptococcaceae. The record is from RNAcentral.